AUGCGGGACUCAUCAGAGGCCUCGCAAUUGGAAUGAGCGCACUUUAAAUCGUUCGACGAGGAUCUAUUGGAGGGCAAGUCCGGUGCCAGCAGCCGCGGUAAUUCCAGCUCCAAUAGCGUAUAUUAAAGUUGUUGCAGUUAAAAAGCUCGUAGUUGGAUCUGGGGUUCGGGUCGGCGGUUUGCCGCUUCGGCGGCUACUGCCGUGCUCGACUCUUACUAGCCGGUGCGUCUUGCGGUGCUCUUCAUCGAGUGCCGUAGGAGCCUGGCAUGUUUACUUUGAAAAAAUUAGAGUGCUCAAAGCAGGCGAUUCCGCCUGAAUAGUGUUGCAUGGAAUAAUGGAAUAGGACCUCGGUUCUAUUUUGUUGGUUUUCGGAACUUGAGGUAAUGAUUAAGAGGGACGGUCGGGGGCAUUCGUAUUUCGGUGUUAGAGGUGAAAUUCUUGGAUCGCUGAAAGACGGACAAAUGCGAAAGCAUCUGCCAAGAACGUCUCCAUUAAUCAAGAACGAAAGUCAGAGGUUCGAAGACGAUCAGACACCGUCCUAGUUCUGACCAUAAACGAUGCCAACUAGCGAUCCGCAGUGGUUGCUAUAAACGGACUCUGCGAGCAGCUUCCGGGAAACCAAAGUGUUUGGGUUCCGGGGGAAGUAUGGUUGCAAAGCUGAAACUUAAAGGAAUUGACGGAAGGGCACCACCAGGAGUGGAGCCUGCGGCUUAAUUUGACACAACACGGGGAAACUCACCCGGUCCGGACACUGUAAGGAUUGACAGAUCGAGAGCUCUUUCUUGAUUCGGUGGAUGGUGGUGCAUGGCCGUUCUUAGUUGGUGGAGUGAUUUGUCUGGUUAAUUCCGAUAACGAACGAGACUCUAGCCUGCUAACUAGUUGCGCCGUGUUCAUACGCGGCUGUAGACUUCUUAGAGGGACAGGUGGCGUUUAGCCACACGAAAUUGAGCAAUAACAGGUCUGUGAUGCCCUUAGAUGUCCGGGGCCGCACGCGCGCUACACUGAAGGAGUCAGCGUGUGCUAUCCGGGCUCGGAAGAGUUCGGUAACCCGUUGAAACUCCUUCGUGCUUGGGAUUGUGGCUUGUAAUUAUCGCGCAUGAACGAGGAAUUCCCAGUAAGUGCAAGUCAUCAGCUUGCGCUGACUACGUCCCUGCCCUUUGUACACACCGCCCGUCGCUACUACCGAUUGAAUGGUUUAGCAAGGUACUCGGAUUGGUCUCGAUCUUGUACGAAAGUGCGGGAUCUGUGGCCGAGAAGAAGGCCAAACUUGAUCAUUUAGAGGAAGUAAA
RNAcentral lists this ribosomal RNA (1289 nucleotides) under metagenome. RNAcentral's name for it is "SSU rRNA". It matches the Rfam family "Eukaryotic small subunit ribosomal RNA", at positions 483 to 1786 of the family's 1831-position model. The record is from RNAcentral.